UGGUUAGCCAAGGUGUGAAUGCAAAGG
RNAcentral lists this non-coding RNA (27 nucleotides) under Homo sapiens (human). Lineage: Eukaryota; Metazoa; Chordata; Mammalia; Primates; Hominidae. The record is from RNAcentral.